RNAcentral lists this unclassified non-coding RNA (229 nucleotides) under uncultured Chytridiomycota. Its description in RNAcentral is "sequence contains ITS1". Lineage: Eukaryota; Fungi; Chytridiomycota. The record is from RNAcentral.
AAAAUUAAAGUUCGGGAUCGGUUCUUCAUUCCUGGUUACGACCAGCAAAGAGCCGAUCCGCUACCGGACGCCACAUUAUGUGAACUGAACCGUCUCUGGCGGGUGGGUAGCAGCAAACACUGCUACCUGUCAGUAAAUGCGUUUGCAUUUGCCGUGGACACCCCGCCAACCAGGUCUUACACCUUUAUUGUUUUUUGAUGUCUGACAUAACCUGUAUAAAUAUACAAAA